Lynx canadensis (Canada lynx) is the source of this 1363-nucleotide long non-coding RNA. RefSeq lists it as uncharacterized. NCBI's taxonomy places the organism in Eukaryota, Metazoa, Chordata, Mammalia, Carnivora, Felidae. The record is from RefSeq and is a predicted model, not a curated record. The transcript is spliced from 3 exons.
ACAGGGUAAAUGGCAUCUAGAAGCGCGGGGGGAUUUUUCCCGACAAGAGUGGAAGGGGGGUGGCGACCGGCUUCCUGGGGCAAUCAGCUGAAGCACUGGCGAUCGCUGUUCCAGAAUAUUCUCGCUGGUUGACCUUCUGCCCCCAGUGCUCUCUUCUGAUGCUGAGGAAGCCAAGGCCCCCCGAGGAACCCAGGACGCUGCAGGGACCCUGCUCCUCGCUGGUUCUGGCCGGAAGGAGUGGCUGACACAAGCAUCUGGUUGCAGCAAUGAGGUCCUUCGGAGGCUGUGCGACCCUGGUUACCAUGCCACCGGUGCCCGGCCUCUGGUCACCAGCCUAGAUGAAGCGGGCCUGUUUUUGGUCAUUAGCUGCGGCAUUUUCAAGAUACAGAGAAACCACAACUGAGCUCUGCUGCUCUUUAUAGGAGCUAUAUUUAGAUUUCUGGCUUCAUAACAACCCUGGUAUUUCCUAUUUUCUCUCGCUCUUCCAGUUUUGUUUUGUUUUUUUCCUUUUAAAGAGGACGAGUCGACCUAAAAUAUUGAAGAAACAACCCACCAGGGAGGGAAUCGCAUGGUAAGGCAAGCCCAAGGAUCUGGAGCUGGGAAAGGCCCGGGGACAGCCACAUCACUCGGAUUCAGGCUUACAAGACGUUAGCUGUGGCCGAAACAAGGGGCCAGCUCCGGUGAUGAUACUGUUUCCGGAGGUCGUGAUCAGCAGGAAACCGUACAGGCGUCUGUAGGGCUUGCGGUUCAACUGGUACGUGUUUGGGGCGCCUGGAUGGCUCAGUCAGGCCUGGCAUUUUGUCCAGAGGUAGGACGGGACUCACGGAAACACCAGACUCUGAAAGCUCUACGUUCCAGGAGCAGGCAAAUAAGAGACAUUGGCGGAGGGAAAGCCAGAUCGAAUUCUGAUCAAUAAACACUUUUAAAUAGUCCGUAAAGACGGACAGGCCCCUGAAGACUAGUGAGUUCCCAGACUGGACAGACUCAAGCACAGAGGGCGGCCAGGCUGUCAAAGAGACAUGAAUUUUGGGAGUGGUUGGACUAAUUUGAUCUUUAAAGUCCUUCUAGCCCGAGAGGCUAUGAUUAAAGACAUCUAGAGGCUGGCAUCCUUUUGCCUCGCUGUGUGCCUUUCUUUAGCCAAAAGUUAGCGUCUUGGGGUCUGAGCUUUCUUGCUAUACUAGGGAGGGAUUGACUAGGGAGGGAAAACAUCCCAGUGGAUGGUUUAUACGGUUCCUUCCACUUUACCCGUCUCCUGACCAUGUGUCGGGCGGGGCCUAGCAGAAAAACAAGAACCAGGUAAGAACCCUAUUUUUCUUAAGUUUUUUUUAACGAUUAUUUAUUUAUUUAUUUAGAACAAGCGGAA